AGUGUGUUAAUAUCUCGGGGUUUUUUUUGUGUUUUAAUAUCCAAAUUUGUAUUAGUUCUGGUGUGUUCAUCCUAGGUGUUUGGCGUUGUUGUGCUUUAGUAUCUCAAUUUUUGGCGUUUUUCAUGCGUUAAUAUCCAGGUUUUUGGUGUUUUGGUUUUUUUUUCUUGCGUUAAUAUCCAGGUUUUUGGUGUUUUGGGGGUUUUUUCUUGCGUUAAUAUCCAGGUUUUUGGUGUUUUGGUUUUUUUUCUUGCGUUAAUAUCCAGGUUUUUGGUGUUUUGGGGGUUUUUUCUUGCGUUAAUAUCCAGGUUUUUGGUGUUUUGGGUUUUUUUUCUUGCGUUAAUAUCCAGGUUUUUGGUGUUUUGGGGUUUUUUUUCUUGCGUUAAUAUCCAGGUUUUUGGUGUUUUGGGGUUUUUUUCUUGCGUUAAUAUCCAUGUUUUUGGUGUUUUGGUUUUUUUUCUUGCGUUAAUAUCCAGGUUUUUGGUGUUUUGGGUGUUUUUCUGUCAGGGCCCUCUCCUCAUCCCUCCCCACCUGGCAUCCCAAACAAACCCCCUCCCUCAUCCUUUUCCUCCCGGUCUGUCUCCCAUCCAUCCCUCUUCCUCUGUUUUCCCUCAGCGCGGCACCUGAGUGGAGACGGCUUCGCAGCCGUCUCCACUCAGGUAAUCAAUCUCCUCCACGAGUCCCGGGCAGCUGGAAGAAAUCAUCCUGAUCACUCAUCUCACAAUAAGUACCGGCUCAACACUCCACACCCUGCCAGAUUGUUGAAUAGACUUUCGCUACCCAGCUGCCCGGAGACCUCCUCACCUGGAACCCUCAUCUGACCCCCCUGAGCUAUUCGGCACCGGUCCCCCUCCCCGCUCGGAUCCCCCAUCCCGCCUGGACCCCCUCCUGGAAUCCCCGACCCGUUUCCCUCCCGGCCGCUGAAGCUGCAGCAGCCAACCGGCUCUCCCUGCCUCCCGGAGCAUCGCCGGCGAGACGCCGUCUCUGCUCGGCCGACCCGAAACCUCGGCCUCCCCCUGAUCGUCAGAGUGCCUCUCCAAAACCCCUCUCCUCCACCGAACUCCAAGCCCUAGACGUCUGGCCGCCAGGGAUCCCCCACAGUGACCCGCGGCGCUCCGGUCCCGCCCGGGCCACGAACGACCGCCGAUCCCCGGCCCCCAGAUCCACCCGGCCACAUCCUCCCCCCACCUGCACUCCUUGUCCCUGCAUUCCGGUCUUUCCACUCAGCCAUAUCCAUCCCUGUACAAUAAAACCUUUAUCAACUUCUCCGGU
Acanthochromis polyacanthus (spiny chromis) is the source of this 1269-nucleotide long non-coding RNA. RefSeq lists it as uncharacterized. The record is from RefSeq and is a predicted model, not a curated record. Lineage: Eukaryota; Metazoa; Chordata; Actinopteri; Pomacentridae. The transcript is spliced from 3 exons.